ACUUGGAUAACUGUGGUAAUUCU
This 23-nucleotide non-coding RNA is filed under the name Bombyx mori (domestic silkworm). Lineage: Eukaryota; Metazoa; Arthropoda; Insecta; Lepidoptera; Bombycidae. RNAcentral also lists the same sequence under 4 other names. The record is from RNAcentral.